GUACAAAUUUUCUUUUUGGCCUGUAUGAUUGUAAUGUCGCUAAAUUCUUUACCUCAUCUAUUUCUUUUUGUUGUGCUGUGAUCUUAGCUCCUGUAACAGCUCAUCUCUUUGUUCAGUUUUAUGUUCCUUUUCUCCAGUAAAUAUGUAGGUUGCUGUUUUUCUUAAAUCUUCCCAUCCCAGAGACUCCCAAUCUGGGCAAUGACGCCUAAAAUAAGUAUUCACUGGCACACAAUUGCCUUUAACAAAUUGUCUGCUUAUAUGUUGUUAAAUUAGCCUCAGACAAAUCUGCAAACUCCAGAAGAUUCUCUCCCAUUUCUACUACUUGGUCUAAGAAUGUGGAUGGAUGUUCCCCUGUUUCCUGUUUAAGCUUUUCAAAUCUGCCACAUGUCAGGUCCCUUUGUGAAAAUUUUCAUUGCUUCAAUUAAACCUUAUCUAGACUGAUCAAGAAAUCUUGGAUUUUGGACAUUACAAAGUUCUAGAUUCUGUUCAUACUCAGGCCCUGAAAUCAAAUUUGGAUUGUUUCUAGUCUUGGCAAUGAAUUAUUCUUUUUCCCUUUUGAUAAAGAGGUCAGAUAGAACAAACUCUCCGGUGAGGUAGGAUCAAAUAAUUUGAUUGUCGGGCAGAACUCCUUUAUACACUUCAUUGGUUCCUCGAAAAAUUUGGGCAUUCUCUUGCGAAGAUGGUCCAGAUCUGCAGGUGUAAAUGAACUUUUAAACUCGCCAGUCCCUUUUUUUUUUUUUUUUUUUGCUUAGGGCCCAAUUGUUGCUAUUUCUUCUUUGGUGUCAAGAUCAUUACUUUUAAGUCAGUGUCUGUUGCCUGAGUCUUUCCCCCACAAAACAGUUUAACGCCUCUUUGCCUGCAUAAUAGAGUUGCAGCACUGAGAAAAACUCUUGCCAGCACAGGAAGGUAGACUAGCACCCUAUCCAUCUCUACUGAAAAACCACUGAAAACUGCCAUAGAUGUUCAAAGGAAAAUAUAAGAACUCUCGUUUGGUGACAAACACCCCAGAGAAAUUGCCCCACCAAGGCAAUCACUCCCAUUGCCACUACCACUUUGUGGAACUUCUUUUUGUUCCAAAGCCUUUGCACAGGAAAAAAAAAAUGUCUUUGAGUCUGGUACUUUAAGAAUUCCCUGCCCCCACAGGAAAUGAUAUCUUCUGAUUGGUUGCCUCAGUUGCUAGGUGGAGUUUAGCGCCAAGCUCAGGAAAAACCACCAUGGCAGCUCUAUUGGGAAAGCCUCCCUUUCUCGGUGACCAAAAACUGACUUUUUCUGACUUCAAAUCUGCUCAACUGUGAGUAGAUUCGAAACUGUAAGAGAGAUUGAAGACAAGUGACUGGGGAUUUUUCUAGACCCAGUCAGGCAAGACGAUCUCCUCAAUGGGAGAGAGCAAAAAUGGCUGCCCUCUACCUGAGUCUGACUUUGCUUUAAAGUCUCUUCCGUCCGCGGCUGCCGAGGCUACCUGAAUACUCUCUCUGGCCAAGUGAUUCCCCUUCUGUUCUCAUCUAUUUCUUGGCAAAACCCCACGGAGGAAUGAGUCUCAGUAUAGAUAGAGCAAAGAUGCAGUCAGGUAUCCGGAGUGAUGAAGGCUCCCCCAGGUGAGUCUGACGCCCCCACCAGGGCAAGCUAAGCAUUUCAAGCAACCCCCUCCGAGAUGUGGUCUUCUCAGUGUGACAGCAGAGUCAGGAGCUUCAACUGUCUUCAGGAUCUUGUUAAAUAUUCUAUUCACAGAAUUGGAGCUGGGCCUGUAGACAUUUCUGUCUCCAGAGCAAGGAUCCAACUUCCCUGGCUGGUUCGUUUCCCAGGAUUCCCUUCCUCUCAAGACUCUAAAAGGGUUUGCUCUUGCUUCUCCUGGUUCAACAGCAUUCCAUGUCACUAUGCUUGCAGUCUUGUUUCCUUUCCAAAAUAUCUCCUUCACAGUAAAGCAAGUUUUUGGAAUAAGAAUCCA
Monodelphis domestica (gray short-tailed opossum) is the source of this 1945-nucleotide long non-coding RNA. RefSeq lists it as uncharacterized. The record is from RefSeq and is a predicted model, not a curated record. Lineage: Eukaryota; Metazoa; Chordata; Mammalia; Didelphimorphia; Didelphidae.